Molecule: long non-coding RNA, 956 nt
Organism: Amphiprion ocellaris (clown anemonefish)
Lineage: Eukaryota; Metazoa; Chordata; Actinopteri; Pomacentridae
Source: Ensembl
CAUUUGCUGUCACGUUAGCCAACGCUAAUUAGCAACGUUAGUCACUUGCUUGAAACGUGAUUCCAGAGCGACAGCAAGUGGAAGCAAUAAAAGGAAGGAAAAUAUAUCCAGCCUCAGUCACGUCCUUCUCAAAACCAGCCGUGAAGAGAAAGGUUGGUGACGAGCACAGACAAUUUCAGGACAAGUGGGAGACGGAAUAUUUUGUUGUUGAGCACCGCGGCAGCCCGACGUGUUUUAUAUGCACAGAGAAAGUGGCGAUACACAAGGAAUACAUCAGACGUCAUUACACAACUAGACAUGCUGAGGAGGAUGCAAAAUACCAGGGAGAUGACAGAGAGAACCGGGUCGACAGUCUUAAAACAUGUCUACUGAGGCGACAAGACUUCUUCAAGAAAGCAGGAGAUGCUUCGUGAUGCCAUUGUGGAUGCUGGUUUGCCAUGGAAGAGGUUUGCUGGAAUAACAACCGACGGAGCGCCAUCAAUGACAGGGAGGAAAAUGGACUGGUGGUGCUUGUUCAAAGAAAACUGGAAGAGGAGGGUGUGGAGAAGGCCGUUGCUCUGCACUGCAUUAUCCAUCAGCAGGCCCUUUGCAGCAAAUGCCUGAAGUUUGACAAUGUGAUGUCUGUCGUUGUGAAAUGCAUCAACCACAUCAGAUCCAGGGGCUAAAAGCACCAGGAGUUUCACCCCUUUUUGGAAGAAAUACAGUCAACAUAUGAGGAUUUGCUCUACCUCACCGAGCCUUCAAGAACCCUGAAACCUUCACUGUUUCCUUCCCUUAUGACCAUGAAUGUUCCUGGACAGUUCAUCUGUAGUUCUAGUGGCUCAGCUCUUUUAAGUUUCUACAGCGUCUGGCCGGCAGUGAACGACAGACCAGAACAAAGCAAACAGCAGACCGGCCAUGACGAUGACGAUGACGGUGACGGUGACGGUGGUCGGCCUCUUCCAGGCAGCAGCACC